AGGAAUAGUCUCUGGUCCUUGCAAACAGAAGGUGGUGGUAAUGCACUAUUUUAGUUUGCGAAGAUGAUCACGACAACUGGUCCAGUACUGAAAUCCUCGCAGUUUUAGACUUGUUUACAGUCUUCAAACACUCUCUUUAAACUACACACAGAUGUUCUGCUGUGGUGGGUGCUCCACGUUGUGUCAUGCAUGAUGAGUGUGGACUUUGAUAGUGAACGAGUUGAAAGAAUAGUUGCAGAAGCACGGGUUGGACCCCAGAGGCCUCAAAGCGGAUCUGGCGGAGCAGUUGCAGGCGGCUCUGGAGGCUGAAGAAGAGGAGAGAUCCUUGGGGUCUCCCACAUGCGAUGAUACUUCAUAUAAGCUGGAAACGGGUGUUUCAGAGGCAGGGUAUGAUGAGCAGUCUGACCCAGGGCAGAUGGCCGGUGAGAGAGAGUGCACUGAUAUGGACUCUGAUAUGGACAUUGAUUCUGAAUUCCCUAAAAGUGACAACAAAUCAGAGACUGUGGAGGGA
Molecule: long non-coding RNA, 511 nt
Organism: Myxocyprinus asiaticus (Chinese sucker)
Lineage: Eukaryota; Metazoa; Chordata; Actinopteri; Cypriniformes; Catostomidae
Exons: 3
Source: RefSeq, a predicted model, not a curated record